Molecule: ribosomal RNA, 294 nt
Filed under: uncultured bacterium
Lineage: Bacteria
Description: partial 16S ribosomal RNA
Rfam family: Bacterial small subunit ribosomal RNA
Source: RNAcentral
AAGGCCUUAGGGUUGUAAACCGCUUUCAGUAGGAACGAAAUUGACGGUACCUGCAGAAGAAGGUGCGGCCAACUACGUGCCAGCAGCCGCGGUGACACGUAGGCACCAAGCGUUGUCCGGAUUUAUUGGGCGUAAAGAGCUCGUAGGCGGUUGAGUAAGUCGGGUGUGAAAACUACUGGGCUUAACCCAGAGCCGCCACUCGAUACUGCUCUGACUUGAGUUCGGUAGGGGAGCAGGGAAUUCCCAGUGUAGCGGUGAAAUGCGCAGAUAUUAGGAGGAACACCGCUGGCGAAG